Molecule: non-coding RNA, 82 nt
Filed under: Postia placenta Mad-698-R
Lineage: Eukaryota; Fungi; Basidiomycota; Agaricomycetes; Polyporales; Adustoporiaceae
Source: RNAcentral
CCCGAGGCAUGGCGCAGGCCUUUGCGUGGCCCUCGGGAUAAGUACCCGCUUCAAUGCUCGCGACGGGGAAACCAACGUGCGC